ACUAGUUCAUCGGUAGAACGCUCGGUUUGGGACCGAGAGGUACAGGGUUCAAUUCCCUGGUCUCCGACA
Molecule: transfer RNA, 69 nt
Filed under: Candidatus Amesbacteria bacterium RIFOXYB1_FULL_47_9
Lineage: Bacteria; Candidatus Amesiibacteriota
Description: tRNA-Pro
Rfam family: tRNA
About the family: Transfer RNA (tRNA) molecules are approximately 80 nucleotides in length. Their secondary structure includes four short double-helical elements and three loops (D, anti-codon, and T loops).
Source: RNAcentral